RNAcentral lists this unclassified non-coding RNA (399 nucleotides) under Hevea brasiliensis (rubber tree). The record is from RNAcentral. Lineage: Eukaryota; Viridiplantae; Streptophyta; Magnoliopsida; Malpighiales; Euphorbiaceae.
AGUCGACAAGAGAAAAAGAAAUUAAGAUUGAUUAGAGAAGUAUAAAACAAACAGCUUCCAAAACUUUGGCAAUUGUGUGAUCUAUCCACAGUUUUUUUUUUUGGGUAAUGAAGCUCAAUAAAUGAUGUUCAAUAGAGAUGCUACAGUCUUAUAUGGCAUUCAUGUUGUUUAUGAACAUCAAAGAAGAGCCAGAAUCUAAUUGGUCUAAAUACUAAUUUAUUGCAAAAAAUAAAGCAUCACCAUUCAUUCAUUUUCAAUUAAAUUCCCUCCUCUAAUCUCAAUCCUCUAUGCUGAAAGAUAAAGCAUGAAUCAAAGGAUUUAAAAUAGUUUCUCUCUUUUAUCUUUUAUUUGCUCUGGUCCACAGAUCGAGUUACACAAUGGGGUAGUGAUGUAGUCAAG